Cyprinus carpio (common carp) is the source of this 1107-nucleotide long non-coding RNA. Lineage: Eukaryota; Metazoa; Chordata; Actinopteri; Cypriniformes; Cyprinidae. The record is from Ensembl.
CUGGCAGCUGGCGUGUGUUUCGUGGUGAGCGGGACGGGGCUGGCUCUGGGACCCCUCUGUUUACACAACAGCACUGAUGGUCUGAAGUGGGGACGGCCAUUAAAACAAGUCAAAACUGGGUGUGUAAGAACUCACAUUGUUCUAUUCCUUCACUAUUUUUUUUUUUUUACAAAGAACUAACUAUCAUUCAUCCAUUAGGCAAAAUCGUCAACAUUAGUAUAGUUUUGUUUCACUGAGAAACACAUUAAACCUGAUGUAUCCAACAGGCUUUGUGACCUCACCAAUCAAACAUUAAAGCAUUAUACAAUAAAAAGCUGCAUUGAAGUGAGUUUACUUCAGUUAAAGACCAUGACGUUGGUUUUGAGGUUGUGUGCUGUCAAGUUAAAUUUGUCAUGUAGUGUUAAUGUGUGUUGUUCUUUUUGCUUUGUGUUCAGUGCAUUAUUAAAUGACUUGUGCUCAUGUUCCUCUGUGUGUUAAUGCAGAGAGAAGCUUUACCUCUAUGCUCCGGAGCGGUGGUCGUCCGCCUGUGUGGAGCCUCGAGGUGUUGUGGUCUGGAAUACGGUUCUUUUCUCCGUCCUCAUGGCAGCAAGUGGCCUUGAGCUCGCUUUCUGCGUUCUUCAUCUCCUCGCCGCCUUACUGGAGUUCAUGUGUGGACCGAGAUUCCGCAAGAAUAAGGUUGUUCCUGCUUGAAAAGACUCGAGGUUCUAUUAUUUUCAUCUCCAUGUGAGAGUGAGAAUGCCAUUUUUGGGUUAAACAGUCAGCUUCGACUGCUUAACUUAUUUUAAACAGAGAGGAAAAAAAUAGAAAUGGGAAGUGGAUCAGAAAAGGCAAUAUCACUGUGCCUGAAGUGUGUUACUGCACUGUCAUCACACACACGUCCAGUCUUCCUGUAGUUCAGCUGCUUGAGAGUGACACUAGUGAUGGUAAACUUUGAAUCCCAGAAACCCUUGAACAGAUUAAACACUCUGAAUAACCUACUAAACUCACACAAACUAAUAAGCUGUUUAAAUUAUUCUUUAUUGUCAUAUAUAUUCAGAAUGCACUUUAGUAUUUAUGCACUGUAUGUGUGUGUAAUUUAAUGUAUGAUGUGUGUAUGUGAUAAAAUAC